Molecule: non-coding RNA, 22 nt
Filed under: Arabidopsis thaliana (thale cress)
Lineage: Eukaryota; Viridiplantae; Streptophyta; Magnoliopsida; Brassicales; Brassicaceae
Source: RNAcentral
GAUAUAGUACUCAUUAGUGCCU